Molecule: long non-coding RNA, 3408 nt
Filed under: Taeniopygia guttata (zebra finch)
Lineage: Eukaryota; Metazoa; Chordata; Aves; Passeriformes; Estrildidae
Description: lncRNA (ENSTGUG00000025648.1)
Source: RNAcentral
GUUCCCUGCCCAGCCCCGCCGAAGGAUAUUUUUGGAAGCUGAAGGAUCAGGGCCGAGAUUUGGGAUUUUGUGCAUCCCUCAAUGAGCCCGGCAACGCCCCGCUCCCCCUGGCCCUGGUGGCACCGUCCCUGUCCCCACAGUGUCCCCGCGGUGGCACCGUCCCUGUCCCAUCCCUGUCCCUGCGGUGGCACCGUCCCUGUCCCUGUGGUGGCACCGUCCUUGUCCCUGCAGUGGCAAUGUCCCUGUCCCCAUGGUGGCACCGUCCCUGUCCCAGCUGUGUCCCCUCGGUGGCACCAUCCCUGUCCCUUCCCUGUCCCCAUGGUGGCACCAUCCCUGUCCCUGCAGUGGCACCGUCCCUGUCCCAUCCCUGUCCCUGCAGUGGCAGUGUCCCUGUCCCAUCCCUGUCCCUGCAGUGGCAGUGUCCCUGUCCCUGCGGUGGCACCAUCCCUGUCCCAUCCCUGUCCCCUCGGUGGCACCGUCCCUGUCCCAGCUGUGUCCCUGCGGUGGCACCGUCCCUGUCCCUUCCCUGUCCCCACGGUGGCACCGUCCCUGUCCCUUCCCUGUCCCCUCGGUGGCACCGUCCCUGUCCCAUCCCUGUCCCCAUGGUGGCACCGUCCCUGUCCCCAUGGUGGCACUGUCCCUGUCCCAUCCCUGUCCCUGAAGUGGCACCGUCCCUGUCCCAUCCCUGUCCCCUCGGUGGCACCGUCCCUGUCCCCUCCGUGCCCCGCGGGCCCGUGUCCCCAGCUCUGUGACGUGAUCAGAGGCCUCGCCGUGCUGCCUUUGCACAACCGCGCUGUGUGUGCCCGUCGCAUUCCAGGUGUGUCGCUCCAGGCCCCGGCCUGGACAGAGAAUUAUUUUUCUGCAGGUUUUCUUUUUUUUUGGAUGUUCUUUCUGGUGACUGAUGUAAACUACUGGUUAAUUUUAUGUUUUUAUUUAUAAAUAAAUUUUAUAAAACUUCCCCAGCCUCUCUCUGCAGGUGCUUGGCGGCGUUCUGGGCAUUUUCUGUGCCUGAGCCACCAGAAUUAGAUUGGAUAUUAGGAAAAAAAAUUUUCACUGAAAGAAUAAUAAAACACUGGAAUUGUCUUCCCAUGGAGGUGGUGGAAUCACCACCUCUGGAUAUUUUUUAAAAAAGGCUGUGUCAGAAUCUGUAGUAUUGAUGAUUCUGAGAUUGCAGAAAGUCUCUGUCUGUCAGCCCCAUUGCCAAAGCAGAAGCCAUAAUUGGUCUGUGCUGUUUCAAGGUGGUUUAUUCUGUUUAUCUCUAACAUGUUCUGCUGCCCUGCCGCAGCUCUGUCCUGCAGGGCAGCGUGUGGGGCUCUGCCCUCAGUGGGAUGGUACAAACAUUAAAUACCACAAACUCCCUGUGCUGGAUUUACAAUAACGUGCCAAUAUCUGUCACCUACGUUGGACAGUGUGUCCCCAGCCUGAACCAACAGAAAAAUGCCAACACCACAGUGAAACAUGGAGGGCAUGAAGAAGGAGAGAAAGGACAAGGCACACCCAAUUUCCUCCAUCUUGUCCCCUCUGAACCCCUAAUCUAGAAACCUAAAAUUUUACUUUUGCACCCGUGCCACACUUAAUUAUUACUGAUAUCAAACACUCAGAGCUGGUAAUUGAUCCUGUAAGAUUGAAAACUCUUUUCCAUGGCCAGAGAUCACAGCCAGUGUCUCUGGGGGCUCUGUCCAGGGGGUUCCUGACCCCUGCCAGGGUCCCAGGGCAGCCAGAGGGAAGCCCUGGAUUCCCACAGACUGGAUUUGACACUUGGUUGAGGUGUCAGGGCAUGGGUUGGGCUUGAUGAUCUUAGAGGUCUCUUCCAACCUCAUUAUUCUGUGAUUCUGCGUGAUUUAUCUCAGCCCAGCAGGGUCCCCUCUGGGGACAUCCUGCACCUGGCCCUGCUUUUUCCAGCCCGGAGUUAUCUCUGCUCUGCAGCUGGGCCAACCCGAGCACGGAGCAGCAGGGAUUGGGCUCGGGGAGCUCAGGCAGGGUGGGAUAAUCUGGUUUUCACCCUGGGCCCAUCCCCAGCAUCCCUGAGCAGGCAGCUCUGGAUCCUGGGGAGAUCCAGGAAAACAAUUCCCGAGGGAGAGGCGAAGCGUGGCUGCUGGAACAAACCCGAGGUUCUAUUUUGACUAUUUCAGUUGUUUUGCUCCAAACUGAAUCAACUCCACAAAAAAAACCCAAAAACAAACAGUGUGGGGAAGGCAAACGGGAAGGUUGGGGAGUAGAAAAUGGGGGAAAGUCUCCAAUUUCAGGAAAUUCUGCUCAUUCUGCCCCAUCUGGCUGCACCCACAUGGCAGGGGCAGGAUCUGGGCACCCCAAAAAGGCACCUGGCACCUGCUGCAGCUCCCCAGGGAAAUUUGGCUGCGCUCCCGCUGCCCCAGGAGCGAGGGAAAUAGAUUUUUAGAGUUUAUUUAUUUUUUAGUUUAUUUUGGAACUGUUGGGGAGGGAAGGGACAGGAAAUCCCUGUGAGGGCUCUGUGCCCUGAGGGUCCCUCCUGUCACAGCCCGGCCAGGGGUGCAGCCCAGCCCUUCCCAGCCCUUCCGAGAGCUCAAGGAUGUGAAUUAUUCCUGGGAGAUCCCCAGGGUGUGAGCUGCUCCUGUCCUGGGACAGCCCCAGGAUGCGAAUUAUUCCUGGGACAGCCCCAGGAUGUGAAUUAUUCCUGUCCUGGGAGAGCUCCAGGAUGUGAACUCCUCGGAGAGCUCCAAGGUGUGAAUUAUUCCUGUCCUGGGAGAGCCCCAGGAUGUGAGCUGCUCCUGUCCUGGGACAGCCCCAGGGGUGAGCUGCUCCCGGGAGAGCCCCAGCACGGCUGGGACCCUCCUCCUGCAGGAGGCAGAGCAGAAAGGAGCAGCAAGGCCGGAUGAUCCCAGGGGAAAAUCACUCUCUGGUGGCAGGCAGAGCUCCCUCAGGGCCAGCCUCAGCAGGACCAGGGUUUUUUGGGAGAAAAGGGAGGAGGAGCCCAGCCGGAGCACCCCCGGCCCGGGGGUCCCUGCUCGGCUCCAGCCCCGCCGCAGCUGCCGCGGGAGCUGCGCGAUCGUUGGGCUAAUGAGCGCAUGCAAAUCAGCCCCGGACGGAGAAAAGCUCAUUUGCAUCUCAUUUAAACGCCCCGGUGGCACCGCACGCGUGUCUGGCUGUGUGCGGGGCAGAGCCAGCCCUAAACCCAAAACCGAACCCGAACCCAAUCCCAGACCCGAGCCCAAAUCCCAACCCAGUCCCAAUCCCAAUCCCAAUCCCAAUCCCAAUCCCCCCAAAUCCGAACCCAAUCCCAAUCCAAAUCCCCCCCGAACCCGAACCCAAUCCCAAACCCGAACCCAAAUCCAAGCUCAGUCCCAAUCCAAAUCCCCCCAAACCCGAACCCAAUCCCAAUCCAAAUCCCCCCAAACCCGAACCCAAACCCAGUUCCUACCCCAAACCCGA